GACGAACGCUGGCGGCGUGCCUAAUACAUGCAAGUAGAACGCACAGUUUAUACCGUAGCUUGCUACACCAUAAACUGUGAGUUGCGAACGGGUGAGUAACGCGUAGGUAACCUGCCUGGUAGCGGGGGAUAACUAUUGGAAACGAUAGCUAAUACCGCAUAAUAUUGAUUAUUGCAUGAUAAUUGAUUGAAAGAUGCUAUUGCAUCACUACCAGAUGGACCUGCGUUGUAUUAGCUAGUAGGUGAGGUAACGGCUCACCUAGGCGACGAUACAUAGCCGACCUGAGAGGGUGAUCGGCCACACUGGGACUGAGACACGGCCCAGACUCCUACGGGAGGCAGCAGUAGGGAAUCUUCGGCAAUGGACGAAAGGCUGAACGAGCAACGCCGCGUGAGUGAAGAAGGUUUUCGGAUCGUAAAGCUCUGUUGUAAGAGAAGAACGGGUGUGAGAGUGGAAAGUUCACACUGUGACGGUAUCUUACCAGAAAGGGACGGCUAACUACGUG
This 505-nucleotide ribosomal RNA is filed under the name uncultured bacterium. RNAcentral's name for it is "partial 16S ribosomal RNA". It matches the Rfam family "Bacterial small subunit ribosomal RNA", at positions 28 to 507 of the family's 1533-position model. The record is from RNAcentral.